This 119-nucleotide ribosomal RNA is filed under the name Aegilops tauschii subsp. strangulata. The record is from RNAcentral. Lineage: Eukaryota; Viridiplantae; Streptophyta; Magnoliopsida; Poales; Poaceae.
GGAUGCGAUCAUACCAGCACUAAAGCACCGGAUCCCAUCAGAACUCCGAAGUUAAGCGUGCUUGGGGGAGAGUAGUACUAGGAUGGGUGACCUCCUGGGAAGUCCUAGUGUUGCAUUCC